This 430-nucleotide ribosomal RNA is filed under the name Pseudomonadota bacterium. Its description in RNAcentral is "Proteobacteria bacterium partial 16S ribosomal RNA". It matches the Rfam family "Bacterial small subunit ribosomal RNA", at positions 355 to 776 of the family's 1533-position model. The record is from RNAcentral. Lineage: Bacteria; Pseudomonadati; Pseudomonadota.
UGGGGAAUAUUGGACAAUGGGCGAAAGCCUGAUCCAGCCAUGCCGCGUGUGUGAAGAAGGCCUUAUGGUUGUAAAGCACUUUAAGCGAGGAGGAGGGUACUGGUAUUAAUACUACCAGGUACUGGACGUUACUCGCAGAAUAAGCACCGGCUAACUCUGUGCCAGCAGCCGCGGUAAUACAGAGGGUGCAAGCGUUAAUCGGAAUUACUGGGCGUAAAGCGCGCGUAGGUGGUUCGUUAAGUUGAAUGUGAAAGCCCCGGGCUCAACCUGGGAACUGCAUCCAGAACUGGCGAGCUAGAGUAGGGCAGGGGGUGGUGGAAUUUCCUGUGUAGCGGUGAAAUGCGUAGAUAUAGGAAGGAACACCAGUGGCGAAGGCGACCACCUGGGCUCAUACUAACACUGAGGUGCGAAAGCGUGGGGAGCAAACAGG